CCAGCCGUAAACGAUGCUCGCUAGGUGUCAGGCAUGGCGCGACCGUGUCUGGUGCCGCAGGGAAGCCGUGAAGCGAGCCACCUGGGAAGUACGGCCGCAAGGCUGAAACUUAAAGGAAUUGGCGGGGGAGCACAACAACGGGUGGAGCCUGCGGUUUAAUUGGACUCAACGCCGGACAACUCACCGGGGACGACAGCAAUAUGUAGGCCAGGCUGAAGACCUUGCCUGAAUCGCUGAGAGGAGG
This 244-nucleotide ribosomal RNA is filed under the name uncultured Methanosarcina sp. Its description in RNAcentral is "partial 16S ribosomal RNA". It matches the Rfam family "Archaeal small subunit ribosomal RNA", at positions 747 to 990 of the family's 1478-position model. The record is from RNAcentral. Lineage: Archaea; Methanobacteriati; Methanobacteriota; Methanomicrobia; Methanosarcinales; Methanosarcinaceae.